This is a long non-coding RNA of Mauremys reevesii (Reeves's turtle), 581 nucleotides long. RefSeq lists it as uncharacterized. The transcript is spliced from 3 exons. Lineage: Eukaryota; Metazoa; Chordata; Testudines; Geoemydidae. The record is from RefSeq and is a predicted model, not a curated record.
GUUAAAAGCCUCCCAGUUAGUCAGGCGGGUGUGCAUGUCAGGAGCUGUGAGAAGUUGUGCUGUUGGAGAGACUGAGCUGUCCACACCAUAUCAGGCACAAGGAAGAAGGCCCUGAGGACACAAAAGCAGCUGCUGAAGAAACCGCUUCGGAGUGAGAGUAAGAGAACCAAGGGCAGCACCGCUAAGCAACCUCCAGUAGAGAGAGAGACGGAUAACCGUGCUCAGAUAGCCAAAGGAGCUUCUGUAAGAGACAAAAACACCAGUUUGGCUCUCCUCAGCUUUAUUCCGACCUCCAGACCCCCAGUGACUAAAAUAUGCCCAGGGUGGUGUGGAGAGGACCUGUACCUACUUGGAACUUUAUUGAAAAUGUUAGUUAAUGGAGUAAAAAUUCCAGUGCAUAAAGACUUCAGAAAUGUCUAUAGCUGGCUCGAUAACCCAUGCAAUGCAUCAAACUGCCUCUUGUAAAUAGUGGCAGAAAGCCUAAUGUGCACAGACUGAUGCUUGCUACUUAGUUUUUGAGUCUGUCUUUAAAUAUAUUUAAUUCUAAUAAUUUGUAAUAGGAGCUUUAUGCUGGAAGAUCC